RNAcentral lists this ribosomal RNA (459 nucleotides) under uncultured bacterium. RNAcentral describes it as "partial 16S ribosomal RNA". It matches the Rfam family "Bacterial small subunit ribosomal RNA", at positions 339 to 795 of the family's 1533-position model. The record is from RNAcentral.
CUACGGGCGGCUCCAGUAAGGAAUAUUGCGCAAUGGAGGCAACUCUGACGCAGCCAUGCCGCGUGCAGGAAGAAGGCCUUAUGGGUCGUAAACUGCCUUUAUUUAGGAAUAAACCCCCGAACGUGUUCGGGGCUGAAGGUACUAAACGAAUAAGCACCGGCUAACUCCGUGCCAGCAGCCGCGGUAAUACGGAGGGUGCAAGCGUUAUCCGGAUUUAUUGGGUUUAAAGGGUGCGCAGGCGGGCUAUUAAGUCAGUGGUGAAAUCCCGGGGCUCAACUCCGGAACUGCCAUUGAUACUGAUAGUCUUGAGUUUGGUUGAAGUGGGCGGAAUGUAGCAUGUAGCGGUGAAAUGCAUAGAUAUGCUACAGAACACCAAUCGCGAAGGCAGCUCACUAAGCCAAAACUGACGCUCAUGCACGAAAGCGUGGGGAUCAAACAGGAUUAGAUACCCCCGUAGUC